This 830-nucleotide ribosomal RNA is filed under the name uncultured Planctomycetales bacterium. RNAcentral describes it as "bacterial SSU rRNA". It matches the Rfam family "Bacterial small subunit ribosomal RNA", at positions 46 to 831 of the family's 1533-position model. The record is from RNAcentral. Lineage: Bacteria; Pseudomonadati; Planctomycetota; Planctomycetia; Planctomycetales.
GGAUUAGGCAUGCAAGUCGAACGAGGGAGUGUUCCGAAAGGGGCACAAACCGAGUGGCGUAAGGGUGAGUAAUGCAUUGAUAACCUACCUUUGAGACGGGGAUAACAACGUUCCGCAAGGGACUCCCGAAAGGGUUGCUAAUACCCGAUAAAACUCAUGGUGCUUCGGUAUCGGGAGUCAAAGGUUUGGGGCUGAAAGGUUCCAUAUGCUCAGAGAGGGGUCAAUGUCCUAUCAGCUAGUUGGCAGGGUAAAGGCCUACCAAGGCGAAGACGGGUAGCCGGCCUGAGAGGGUGGUCGGCCACAUUGGGACUGAGACACUGCCCAGACUCCUACGGGAGGCUGCAGUCGAGAAUCUUUCGCAAUGCCCGGAAGGGUGACGAAGCGACGCCGCGUGUGGGAAGAAGGCCUUCGGGUUGUAAACCACUGUCGGGAGUUAAGAAGUGUAAGGGGGUGAAUAGCCCUCUUACUUGACGUUAGCUCCGGAGGAAGCCACGGCUAACUCUGUGCCAGCAGCCGCGGUAAUACAGAGGUGGCAAGCGUUGUUCGGAAUUAUUGGGCGUAAAGAGCACGUAGGCGGCCCUACAAGUCAGCUGUGAAAUCCUUCUGCUCAACGGAAGAACGGCAGUUGAUACUAUAGGGCUGGAGUGCGGGAGGGGAGAGUGGAACUUCUGGUGGAGCGGUGAAAUGCGUAGAUAUCAGAAGGAACAUCGGCGGCGAAAGCGGCUCUCUGGCCCGUAACUGACGCUGAGGUGCGAAAGCUAGGGGAGCAAACGGGAUUAGAUACCCCGGUAGUCCUAGCCGUAAACGAUGGGCACUAAGUAGAGGGGUUU